RNAcentral lists this long non-coding RNA (449 nucleotides) under Apteryx owenii (little spotted kiwi). Its description in RNAcentral is "lncRNA (ENSAOWG00000007906.1)". Lineage: Eukaryota; Metazoa; Chordata; Aves; Apterygiformes; Apterygidae. The record is from RNAcentral.
GAUCCUCUCUCCUCUCCCGCCCCCGAAACCCCUCUGUCCGUGUCGACAUCGUGCCCCCAGCACCAUCGAAAACCAGCAUCCCGGCGUCCACGAGCGCGCCGAGCUCGACGAGAAGGGAGCGAGGCCGCCGCGGCUUCCCAGCUCCGCGGGUGCAGAAAUGUUUGUUUUCUGGGAUGCAAACUGCUAAACUCCAGGCGUCUGAACUGGAACCCAUAACUGAACUAGUUAAAAGCUGGCAGGUUUCUGAAGAUUUAAAGAACACUUUUCUUGUUUUGAUUUUUUUUUUCCUCCCUUUUCCUUUUAACAUGGGGGUUGCAAAGAGAGGUGGUCUCGAAAGAGCACUGGCUUUAGUAGUUGGAAGGAAGGCGAGCCAGUUUUCCCCCUGGCUCCGGUGGGCGACCGCAAAUCCAGCCCCGGUCGCUGGGUCGCUCAAACUAGCUAUUUCUUAA